CUCCAGACUCCUACGGGAGGCAGCAGUGGGGAAUAUUGCACAAUGGGGGAAACCCUGGUGCAGCGACGCCGCGUGAGUGAAGAAGUAUUUCGGUAUGUAAAGCUCUAUCAGCAGGGAAGAAAAUGACGGUACCUGACUAAGAAGCCCCGGCUAACUACGUGCCAGCAGCCGCGGUAAUACGUAGGGGGCAAGCGUUAUCCGGAUUUACUGGGUGUAAAGGGAGCGUAGACGGCGAUGCAAGUCUGAAGUGAAAGGCGGGGGCCCAAUCCCCGGACUGCUUUGGAAACUGUAUAGCUGGAGUGCAGGAGAGGUAAGUGGAAUUCCUAGUGUAGCGGUGAAAUGCGUAGAUAUUAGGAGGAACACCAGUGGCGAAGGCGGCUUACUGGACUGUAACUGACGUUGAGGCUCGAAAGCGUGGGGAGCAAACAGGAUUAGAUACCCGGGUAA
RNAcentral lists this ribosomal RNA (447 nucleotides) under uncultured bacterium. RNAcentral's name for it is "bacterial SSU rRNA". It matches the Rfam family "Bacterial small subunit ribosomal RNA", at positions 329 to 793 of the family's 1533-position model. The record is from RNAcentral.